GUGAUUGCAGUGUUCUUUCUCUGGUUUUUUUUUUGCUUCUUUAUUCAUCUAUUUCGUGCUCAAAAAGGAAAAAGAAGGGAGAAGAGUGAGGAACGUACCUGGUGACCGGCCUCGUGCUCGCUCCGUCGCAAUCGGAGUCGUGCAUGGGAUUCGGAAAGCCCCUGUUCUGAGGCGAUAAACAUCGCAUGAGAAAAAGGAGGAGUGCUUAGGUUUUGGUUUCAAAAGAGCAGAUCGGGUUUAGUUUAGGGUUUUUUUAUUUUUAUCUUAAUCAUGGAAACGGCGUCGUUUUCACUGAUUGGAUUUGAGCAUCCGAACAUGUGUUUAAUUUCUGUUUUAGUCCUCUUUGUUAUUUUAUUAUGAUUCUUACCCUCUUUUUCAUUUUUGCUCCGCUUUAGUCCCAAAUCUGUUAGAUUUCACUUUAUUUUUGCAAUGUAUUUAUUUAUUUUAAACUUUAUAUUAUUUAUUUUAAAUCGUUCUAUUAUUAUUUAUUUUAAGUUUUUUAUAUAUUAUGUAUUUUAAAUUAUGUUAAUCAAUUAUUCAUUUUAAAUAUAUAUUAUUUAUGUUAAACUACAUAUUUAUAUUAUUUAUUUGGAAUUGUUUUUAUGCACAUCAUGCAUUAUCGUUUUAAAAAAAAAAUUGUUUGCAUAUUAUUCAUUUAAGAUUCCUUCUGACAUAUUAUUUAUUUUAAACAUUUUACAUAUUACUUUAAAUUGUUUUCUAUGUUAUUUAUUUUUUAAAUUGCUUUGAGGAUUAUUCAUUUUAACUUGUUUUACACAUUAUUUUAAUAUGUAUGGAAUUAUUUUAAUAUAUAUAUACGUGUAUAAAAUGUAUUGUAACUGGUAAUUUCUAAAAUUUUAUUCUACGUUUUAAAAUUUUUAUCAUUUCGAUUAUGUUGAUUGGUUUACUUGGGAUUAAAUUAUUAUUGCAUCAAUUAUUCUCUUUUUGUUAUUUCUAAGAUCGAUUAUUAGUUUAUUUGAUUAUUAAUGUCGAUGUAUUAUAUAUGUGGUUGCUCCAAUUUGUAGAAGUAAUUUGCUAUUCAUCAUUCGCUCCGUAUAUUGUUAUAUUAUUUGUAAGAAUUGCAUUCCAUUAAAACAUUAUAAUCGUUUUAUUUCAAAACUCCUAAAAAAGGAUUGGUGUUUAAUAGUUCUCGAGAGAAUUGUGCCCUAACUUACUGGGCUUCAACUCUCUUCGAUGGAUUUAUAUCAUCAAGUUUCCAUUUUAUUUAAACCACACCAUUAUCAACAUAAAUUUUUUCAGGAUUUCAAAAUGUUGGACCCUAACUCACUGGAUCCAAUAAUUUUGCUAUUCAGAAUUAAGGAUUUUCUUUAUAAAGGCAAUAUUCGAUGUUUAGGAAUUUCGAGAAAUUAAACCCUAAUUUACUAGGUCUUAAUUUUUCGUUGGACUUAAAUAAUCAGAUAUCCUGCUCAAAAUGCAUAGGUUUUAAAAGUUAUGAGAUAAACUUAAUUUUGAUGAUUGAAGUGUUACGCUCUAACUCACUGAGUAUGGCAAUUCAUGAGUACAUUUUACCUAAAUUUUCUUUUCAAAGGAUCGUAUUUUAAAUUUUUUUUUUAAAGUUUCAACACUAAGACAUUAAAAAAUCGAUUCGAUACCAAUUUUGGGCGUUACGAGGGUGUUAACCCUUCCUCGUGCGUAACCGACUCCUGGACCUAUUUUCUCAAAUCUCGCAGACUUAAAAUUUAUUUUAAUGAUGAACCGAUCACACCUUAAUAAAAUAUCGGUGGCGACUCCAUUUCCAUUUUCAAAAUCGAUACCCAUUUUUCAAAUUUCAAAAAAGUGGUUCGACAAUGACAACAUUAGGAAGUAUAUUAUGACAUAUUAAUUCAAGAAAUGAUUAAAUCGCAAAAGUGAGACAAAUUUUAUUAUCCAAGAGUAAAUACUCAAAAUUUAAGGGGUUAAAGUGUAAAUAUUAAAAAAUUGAAGGACCAAAGGUGUAAAUAUUUUAAGGGUGGAAUGACCUAGAAACUAAGGAAAAUGGAUAGAUUAGGACCAAAUUGAAAAAGGUGAAUAAUUUUGAGGGACUAAAUCAUAAUUUUACCAAAUUAAGUGAUGACUCAAGGAUGGAAUUUUAAAAUAUUAUAAAGAGAAAAAUGGUCAAUUAAAGAGAGAGAACUCUAGAAGGUAAUGAUGAUGUUGGUGAUAUUUUUAUUAAUUAAUUAGAUAAAUGUUAUUUAUUUAAUAUUUUAUUAAGAUUUUUAGUAUUAUUUUAUUAUUAAAUGAUUAAUAUAAAAGGGAGGAAAGAUGAAAAAAAUUCAUCAUCUUUUCCAUGCAACCAACGUGAGAAGAGAGAAAGAAAGAAAGCUUUGCUUUCUUUACAAUUUGGUCCUCUCACCAAAAAUUCACCAUUUUCACUUAAAAUUUAAAGAAAUUUCCAUAGCCACCAAAAGAGAAAUUUGAUAAGGAGACUAUGGGGAGCUAGAAUAUCAAGUUAGAUUCAAGAAAUAAAGGCUCGAGGAGAGAUAAAAUCAAGUUAAAGAUUGAAAUCAAUAGCACAAGGUAAGAACAUCAAGAUUUCAAUAUAUUUUUGAGUUUGAUAUUAUUGAAAAAGUAUGAAAUUGAUGUUAAUGUAGGGUUUUAUUAUAUAAGGUUCUAUGUUCUUGAUAUGUUAGUGAAGAAAAAUAAGAGAAAAUGAUGGGAAAUACUAUAGAGAAAGAGAAUAAGGGUGUUAUAAAUUUAGUAAUCAACAUUUUGCACUAAAACAGUUUUUGACAGCAACAGUAGGUUAACUUUGAAAAAUUACCAUAAAUCGUGGAAAUUGAAUUAUAGGAUGAAAAAUAUAUGAAAUUAAAACUUAUUAAGUCUAGUUUCUCAUAGAAGAAACGGUGUAAUCAAUGGUAUUAUAAAUUAUGAGAUAUAAUUUUUGUGAGACAAUAUCAGAAUGAAUUCGGGUUUCCCUGUUCUGACUUUGGAAAAUCAUUAAAAAUUGUACAAAAAUGAUUAUGAGUUAUAAUUCAUAUGUUUAGAAUCCUUAAUAAGUCUAUUUUUAAAAAGAAUAAACGAGAACAUUAUCCGAAUCCUAUACAAUGAGAUAAUUAAUUUUUAGUGAAGAAGAGUUGAAACUGUCAAACAGCAGAACAGGGAUGACUUUAAAGAAUAAACUGUACUUAUUGGAUAAACCAAAAAUUAUGAAAAUUUUAUGGUAAGAAUAUAUGAGCCUAGUUUCAGAUAAAAUUUACGAAUUUCAAUUCGAAGUCCUGUAGCUUAAGAUAUAAUUAAUUUAGUGACUAUGACUCAAGUGAACAAAUUGUUAUGAGUAAACAAGUAAAUAGUGGCAAUAUAUAUAUCAAGGAUGUGAAAUAGAGUGGAUGAGGAGGAAAAAUAAUAUAUGUGAAUAUUCAACUAAUAUGAGUUUAAUUUAAGAUAGCUAAUUUACAUGUUUUAGGUUCAGAGACUAAAUUGAAUAAAAGUAAAAUUUUAAGGGUAAUUUUGUAAAAAUAUAAAAAAAACCAAAUUGCAUGAAAUGAAUUGUUUUAUCAUUUAAAUUAAUAAAUUAAAUGAAAUAUUAAUUUAGAUCAAGAUUUGGGUGGAAAUUCGAGAAAAAUAGAAAAUUACCAAAAUGUCCCUAAAUUUUGAUAUUUCUACAAUUUAGCCCGGUAAGUUCGUGUAACUUGAAUUAUAUUGUUAAAUGCUUAAAAUGUUUGUUAUUGAUGUGAAUAUGAUUUGAAUGUUCAUUAUAUGAAAAUUGAUGAAACAUUGAUAUAUUUGAUAAAAAGGGGAAGAAAUCUCGGUUGAAUGGAAGAAAAUUCGAUGGAUCUCUAAAAAGAAAUUGAUAGUAAAAAGGAUCUAUCCCAGAUGGGUGAUCCUAUCUUGAUAUAGCCCUCCCGAAGAAUAUGUGUGAAAAAGAUCUAGCACGGAUGGGUGAUCUUGAUAUAGCCCUCCCGAAAAAUAUGUGAAAAAUAGAUUUAGCCCGGACGGGUAAUCCAAAUUAGGGUCUAAAUUUAGCUUGGAUUGGUAAUUCAAAUCCAAGCUCAUUAGAGUAAUUGUCAUUACAGGGGAUUUAGCCUGAACUGAUAAUCCAGACAAUACUCUAUGAGUUUAUAUUAAAGGAGAUUUAGCCUAAACUGGUAAUCCCACUGUAAGAAAUGACGUUCGCGGGAGUGUACUCUCUUGGAAAAUGUGCGCACAUGAAUAUGAAUUGACGGACCCGAAUUAGUACACUAAAGUGUCCCCCUGAAAAUCCAUCAAAAUUUCGAAAAAUUCAACGGGAUAAAAAUAGAAAAAUGAUAAGUACUUAAAAUCAUGAAAUUAAACUUGAAAUACAUAGAAAUGAUAAUUAUUUGAUAUACUAAAAUAUGACAUGGAAAAUACAUGUAUGUGAAACUUGUCUGAUAAUUAUGCAUAUUCAAGAUUAUGAACUGCUACUGGAAUAAAUAUACAUUGAAAUCUAAAAAAAAUUAUGGUACAUGAAAUAUUGUCAUAAUGAAUUGAAUAAUUUAUAUUUAAAAAGAAACAACAAGAAAAUGAUAUGUAUAAUGACAUGUAAAUAUGAGACUAUCUUUGAUACGUUGAUACUAAGAAAAAUUAUGUGUAUUAAGACGAGUAAUAAAUUUAAGUGAGACAUGGCGAGAAAAUAAGUUUGUCAAUAUUAAAGUACGCUAACCAAUGUUGUUGCUUGAAUUUUAGGCAAGUGCCAAAUUACUAUUGAAUGAUAAUAUGUUUAAUUAUAAGGUGCUUUGGAAUGGUAAGUGCUUAGAUAAAAAUAUAAUUGAGCUUAUGAAAGAGUGGAAAGGUUUCAGUUAUGCAAUUUCUUAUGAAAAAAUUUGUUAUAUGAUACGCCCCGUAUGAACCCUGCACCUAAUUUGAAAAUAAAAAAAAAAUUAAAAUCUAUAUAUAUAUUUAGGAUUUUGCGAAAAAUUUCCUAUGAUUCCGAUUUAAUCUCAGUAGGUUCCUAAUAAAUGUUUUGGGCUUCGAGAGCCCAAUAGAGGGACGUUAUGAUUAUUUUCAGAAUAUGAAUAAUAAAUGGUUCAAAAUUAUUGAAAAUGUUUAGUAAACUCCGGUAAUGCUUCGUGCCCUAUUUCGACAACGGAUAUGGGUAGGGGGUGUUACACUUCUUCCCAUUUCGGUAAAAGCAUUUCCACCAAGAUUGCAAUCAUCGGAUGCAACAAAGUCGGGUGAAAACAAUUGCAAACCAUGAUUGUGCGUAUUAAAUGCAUCCCGCAACAUACCUUCCAUGUCAUCUUUUCUAACAGACUGAUGGUAAUCACUAUGAGGAUAAGCCAGAUUAAUCGUCGAAGAGAUUCUACUGGUGUGCACUCUCCAUGGAAAAUCCAUUUUUUAUACCCCCGAAUAAACCCAUCAACAAUUAGAUGUUCGUAGACAACUUUACGAAAAUGCCAAUUGAUGUUGCCACACUUUUUACACAGGCAAAGAAUCAUAUUCUCUUGGCUUGCAUUUUGAAAUGCAAAAUUUAGAAAAGUUUGUAGUCCAUUUCGUAGUUCUUGAAGUCUAAAGUUGACAAUAAAUUACACGGGUAAGUUGUUUAUUUAUAAGUAUAAUUAAGUUAUGUAAGUUAUGAUAUGAUAUAUAUUUAUGUAUUAUGUAAGUUAUGAUAUGAUAUAUAUAAGUUAUGUAAGUUAUGAUAUGAUAUAUAUAAGUUAUGUAAGUUAUGAUAUGAUAUAUAUAACUUAUGUAAGUUAUGAUAUGAUAUAUAUAUAUAAGUUAUUAUGUAUGUAUGUGAGUUAUGUAAAUUAUGAUAUGAUAUAUAUAAGUUAUUAAGUUAAGAUCCCAAGUUUUUUUUCAAUUCUUUAAAGUUAAGUAAAUUAUGUAAGUUAUGUAAGUUUUGAUAUGAUAUAUAUUUAUGUAAGUUAUGUAAAUUAUGCAAGUUAUGUAAGUUAUGAUAUAUAUUUUAUAAGUUUUAAAAACAUUUAAAAAUAUUAAAUAUUAAAAUCAAACAUUUUUAAUAUCAAAAAAAUAGUAAUUUGAUUUUUAUAUUAAAAUAAAUUUAAAUAAUGAUCAAAAUUAUCAUAUUGAUAAAAAAUAUUUAUAAGUUUUAAAAAAAUUUAAAAAUAUUAAAUAUUAAAAUCAAAUAUUAAGUUUUGAUAUGAUAUAUAUUUAUGUAAGUUAUGUAAAUUAUAUAAUAUUUUAAAAUAGAAACUUUAAAAUAUUAUUUUAAGCGGAUAUUAUUUAUUUUAAUUUUAAAGACAAAAUCGUAAAUGAAUCUCUUUUUUUUUUUUAAAAAAAAAACUCUAAUAAACCUGGAAGUUAUAUAUAACGAAAGCUGUCAUGAGUGUGAAAGGGGAAACUAUAAGAUUCAAAGUUGUAAAUUUUAGAAACAAAAAAAAAAAAAAGUUAGGCAAAUGUUCAAUAAUGAUUUAUGAAUGAAAUAUUCAGAUUAUUAGUUUGAAUUGAUUGAUUUAAUUAGUGAAAUAAGGUGAUUCUAGAAUUAAUAAUAUCAUUUUCAUUAUUAUGAUUGGUGGUCUGCAAAUUAUUCACUCUGACAAUUAAAUUAUUUUGACAAAACUUACUAUUUUCCUCUAAAUCAUGUAUAUUCAUGAAUCUUGAUUUUGAUCCCAGUGGGGGAAAAUUUUCAUUUUAUGGCUAUGAAUUUGGAAGAGUUGAAGUUCAUCUUCAUCAAAGAGAUGACAAAGCUAUUACCUUGUCAUAUAGGAAGGUAGAGCAAUUUACCGUGAAGAAAUUUGUCAAAAUUUAACUCAAGUUAAUGGCUUAACAAUUGAAGUAAUGAAUGAUACAGAAGCAGAGACAAAUGAUGCAGAGGCAGAGACAAAUUUCAUGAUUGAAGUAGAAUGCUCAAGUUAGGUUUACGGAUUCAAAAAUUACACUAUCACAUUCAACUAUAGAACCAAAAGGGGGAAAGGGAAGAAAAACAAAAAGGCAGAAAAUAAGGAAUGAGAAAUUGAACCAAAAGGCAUAAGAUAUAGAAAUAGAAGGAAUACAAUAAGAGAUUCCAGCAAAAGAGAAAAACAGAUUUGCAAAGAACUAUUUGUUAUUAUAACGCAGGAAUGCUCAAAGCAAAUAUGGAGAAAAACGUUGAUUGAUUAAGAUAUAUAUAUAUAUAUCUUAAACAUUCAGCAUUAAAAGAAAAGAAGAUAUUGGUGAUUAUGUAUACAAAAAUUUCGGGGGGGUGGGGGGGGAGAAGAAGAAAAGAGAGCUUACCGAGCUCGAAAACUUGAAGAAUGGGAGGGAAACACUAAUAAGGGAUUUUGUUACGGAAAAUCCUAAUUUGUGAGAUUGAAAGAGAAGCUUUUAAUUUCGCACGAGCUUUAGAAUCGGGGUUGUGCCCUACAGAUAGCAAUAGAAGCAAUGAAGAAAUUAAAGAGAAAGAAAAAACAAAGCAAGCAUUAAAGAAAGAAAAAAUCAAAGAGAAAAAGGAACAGCCAUAUACCCAGUCAACGGAGAAAUUAGGUAAGGUGAUGAGAUUUUUACCAGUCAGCCCAAACGAGAAGCGAUCUUGCAGCGAGCAGAAGGCCGGAAAACAACGUUGAAGGGGUGAAAGAUCUAGGGAUUUGCAGGAGAGGAGAAAGACGGAAGGAGAGUCGGGGGCUGAGAUUUAGACUUAGAACAACAGACCACAAAAAAAAAAAAGAUGCCAUUUAAGUCAAACUGAUAUUGCAAUAUUUGCUGCGCUUAUAAAAAAACGUGACUAAUUGUAUAACUUUUG
RNAcentral lists this long non-coding RNA (7636 nucleotides) under Gossypium barbadense (sea-island cotton). RNAcentral describes it as "long non-coding RNA (GBAR_LNC013326)". Lineage: Eukaryota; Viridiplantae; Streptophyta; Magnoliopsida; Malvales; Malvaceae. The record is from RNAcentral.